CAUAAUAUGUCACAUUUUGCACUGUUAUUAGGUGAGGAGGGAAUGGCAUUUGGUAUAUUAUUUUUAAGUUCUGGGGAAAGGCCUAUAUUGUUAACACUUUUAUUUUCUCCCUUUCUUUUCCUUAAUAAAACCAUUUUAUCCUCCAACUGAACAAUUCUUGAGUGCAUCAGUUCAUGUUCUCUCAUUUCAUUGGUGGUGUAAUUGAAAGAGAGAGGAAGAUAUGUCUACCACACUAUUCCCUAUUUCACAGGUCAUGAGAUGUAGAAGUUAAAAGGAGUAAAGCAAACCUGGCGCUAGAAUCUGCUUUGUUCAGGAUGCGGGUUCCCAAGAUCAUGGGUUAAGAUGAUUGGAGGUGAGCAGAUAUCGCUGUUCAAUUUACAGAAGAUAAAGACAGCUAGUCACUUGGUCUGGAGAGUAGGGAUGUUAAGAUGCCAAGACAACAAGAGGCCACAGCAUAAGAGGACCAAGCAGCUACCCAAGGUGAAAACUAUGCCAAGUCCAAUUCUUUAGGAAUAAGAUGAUGUAAUUCUUUCUGUGCCAUGAUGCCAACAAGAGACAGCAACCCAUCACACUAGUGGGAGAAGACCCAAGCCAGCUAAUGAAAAUAGAAC
Molecule: long non-coding RNA, 611 nt
Organism: Mauremys mutica (yellowpond turtle)
Lineage: Eukaryota; Metazoa; Chordata; Testudines; Geoemydidae
Exons: 3
Source: RefSeq, a predicted model, not a curated record